Molecule: ribosomal RNA, 467 nt
Filed under: uncultured Enterococcus sp.
Lineage: Bacteria; Bacillati; Bacillota; Bacilli; Lactobacillales; Enterococcaceae
Description: bacterial LSU rRNA
Rfam family: Bacterial large subunit ribosomal RNA
Source: RNAcentral
AUCUGAUGUCACACUGCCAAGAAAAGCUUCUAGUGAGAAGUAGGCUGCCCGUACCGCAAACCGACACAGGUAGUCGAGGAGAGAAUCCUAAGGUGAUCGAGAGAACUCUCGUUAAGGAACUCGGCAAAAUGACCCCGUAACUUCGGGAGAAGGGUGCUGAUCAAUUGAUCAGCCGCAGUGAAUAGGCCCAAGCGACUGUUUAGCAAAACACAGGUCUCUGCAAAACCGUAAGGUGACGUAUAGGGGCUGACGCCUGCCCGGUGCUGGAAGGUUAAGGGAGUGCUUAGCGCAAGCGAAGGUGCGAACUGAAGCCCCAGUAAACGGCGGCCGUAACUAUAACGGUCCUAAGGUAGCGAAAUUCCUUGUCGGGUAAGUUCCGACCCGCACGAAAGGCGUAACGAUCUGGGAGCUGUCUCGGAGAGAGACUCGGCGAAAAUAGAAUUGUCUGUGAAAGAUAUGGACUACCU